Molecule: long non-coding RNA, 179 nt
Organism: Amphimedon queenslandica
Lineage: Eukaryota; Metazoa; Porifera; Demospongiae; Haplosclerida; Niphatidae
Exons: 3
Source: RefSeq, a predicted model, not a curated record
CAAUGAAUCUGAUCGUCAAGAGACAACCAUAAUGAAAACAAGUUGUAUUGCACGUGAUUGUAAGGAACUAUAUGAUCAGGGACAUACCUGCAGUGGAGUGUACACUAUCAAACCUGAUGAACUACCUGCUUUUGAGGUUUAUUGUGAUAUGAGUAAUGGUGGUGGUUAGACUGUAUUUC